Molecule: ribosomal RNA, 468 nt
Filed under: uncultured bacterium
Lineage: Bacteria
Description: partial 16S ribosomal RNA
Rfam family: Bacterial small subunit ribosomal RNA
Source: RNAcentral
GAGGAACGCUGGCUGCGUGCUUAACACAUGCAAGUCGAACGGAAAGGCCCUGCUGUUGGUGGGUGCUCGUGUGGCGAACUGGUGCGUAACACGUGAGUAACCUGCCCUUGACUUUGGGGUAACGUCAAGAAACUCGGGCUAAUACCGGAUAGGAGCUCCUGCGGCAUGGUGGGGGUUGGAAAGUUUCGGCGGUUGGGGAUGGACUCGCGGCUUAUCAGCGUGUUGGUGGGGGAGUGGCUUACCAAGGCUUUGACGGGUACCCGGCCUGAGAGGGUGACCGGCCAAAUUGGGACUGGGGUCAGGGCCCGACCCCCCACGGAGGCAGGCGGGGGGAAUACUGCAACAUGGGGGGCAGGCCGGUGCCGGAAAGACGGCUGCGGGAUGACGGCCUUAGGGUUCUAGAACGCUUUUGCCUGUGAGGAAGCGUUCGUGACGGUAAUGGGUAAAGAAGCACCGGCUAACUCCGUG